GUUCGAAUCCAGGUGCUAACGUUCCUCCCCUUACAGCGAUACAGAGAAGAUUAGCAUGGCCCCUGCACUAAGGAUGACACGCUUCAACAAAGAGUAGCUAAAAGUUUUU
This 109-nucleotide small nuclear RNA is filed under the name Dactylellina haptotyla CBS 200.50. The record is from RNAcentral. Lineage: Eukaryota; Fungi; Ascomycota; Orbiliomycetes; Orbiliales; Orbiliaceae.